AUUAACUGAACACAUACAGGUGCGGCUGUUGAUGAUUUUGUACUAAUUUAGAGUAAAGUUUGAAACAAACACGUGUGACACUGCUCCUUGAAGAUAAACGGUGUUAUUGACUGAAACUCAAGUUGUAUUUUUAACACAAAAUAAAUUGACUGGAGUAUUUAAUUAAAUGCAAAAAACUAUGGACUGUUGUGCAAAGUGAGCUCGCAGUAAUAAGAGAAGAGGCAUCAACACAGCAAAAGGUGUUAUUUUGGAAAACACGGAUAUGGAGUGCUUCAUGCAUGAAAAAAAAGGCCUUCCAAACUACCAAAGCACCCAUCCUUGCUCAACCACCCCAUCCCAUCUCAUCCCAUCCCAUCCCCCUCCAAUUCUUCAAUCCAUCAUCAGCGCUGUCUUUAGUGUGAAUAAGAGAGGCAGCAGAACUGUGGAAGAAUUCCUCCUGUGCAGGUGCAGUACACAUGCGGUGGCCUCUUUCUGCGCGUUGCCGGCAGCAUGACUGAGCCUCCAGAGUGUCCCCGCGUGAUCCAGUGAUCGAUGCAAAACCUCUGGAGGUUCAGCUUUAAGGGCAGCUUCAGGAGCCUCUGAGCCCGAAUCAUCUCUGAUAGGGUAAAGUGGAUCAAGAUCCUGUCCUGCAAUCCAGACAAAGGCAGAAGAGCUGGAGCAGAAGACUCACAGCAGCAUCUCCAGUCCUGAUUUUAUCAUCCCGGUGGUCUUUCCCCUGUGAUACCAUUUUGUUGCCAGUCUUUGUUCCAACCCCCCUUUCCUCUUCUUCCACCUCCCUCCCGGCUCAUGUUGAACCACCUGCUGCGUUUGCCUCCAAACACCAUCCGCCCACCGCCACUACCCCCAUGCCUGCGAGAGUUUGUCCCUCAUUAUCGGUCCUUACUGCACCCCGACCAACCUUCCCGCCCAGCAUGGUGUCAGAGCUUCGAUUGCACCAUGGGAGACACCCAUAAACAGGCUGUCACACUAUAACAGGUUCAAUAAGAACACACAAUCACCUCAUGUCAUCGGCAUGCAGACAACAUGGGAACUUUGGAGUCCACAUGGUUUUUAUGUCUUCAACGUAUGUCCAUGUGAGGGGACUAGCAGACUGUACAAAAAGAUGGAUGAUAUGGCAGUUCCUCAAAAGUGAAGCCAAAAAAUAUAAAGGAUCUCCCACUGACUGGCUGCAGUAUAGAACCUGUCUCUCUAAUGUUAACAGAUGUGGAAUGGGUCACAGUAUAAACCAUAGUGGUUCAUUUAAA
Notolabrus celidotus (New Zealand spotty) is the source of this 1244-nucleotide long non-coding RNA. RefSeq lists it as uncharacterized. The record is from RefSeq and is a predicted model, not a curated record. The transcript is spliced from 7 exons. NCBI's taxonomy places the organism in Eukaryota, Metazoa, Chordata, Actinopteri, Labriformes, Labridae.